AGUCUGCAACCCGGCUACAUGAAGCUGGAAUCGCUAGUAAUCGCGGAUCAGAAUGCCGCGGUGAAUACGUUCCCGGGUCUUGUACACCACCGCCCGUCACACCAUGGGAGUCGGAAAUGCCCGAAGUCUGUGACCCAACCUCAGGGAGGGAGCAGCCGAAGGCAGGUCGGAUGACUGGGGUGAAGUCGUAACAAGGUAAC
This 200-nucleotide ribosomal RNA is filed under the name uncultured bacterium. RNAcentral describes it as "partial 16S ribosomal RNA". It matches the Rfam family "Bacterial small subunit ribosomal RNA", at positions 1302 to 1500 of the family's 1533-position model. The record is from RNAcentral.